GACGUAGGGCGCGAGCGUUGUCCGGAUUUAUUGGGCGUAAAGAGCUCGUAGGCGGCUUGUCGCGUCGUCCGUGAAAACCCACAGCUCAACUGUGGGCUUGCGGUCGAUACGGGCAGACUAGAGUUCGGUAGGGGAGACUGGAAUUCCUGGUGUAGCGGUGAAAUGCGCAGAUAUCAGGAGGAACACCGGUGGCGAAGGCGGGUCUCUGGGCCGAUACUGACGCUGAGGAGCGAAAGCGUGGGGAGCGAACAGG
This 253-nucleotide ribosomal RNA is filed under the name uncultured bacterium. RNAcentral's name for it is "partial 16S ribosomal RNA". It matches the Rfam family "Bacterial small subunit ribosomal RNA", at positions 524 to 776 of the family's 1533-position model. The record is from RNAcentral.